This 20-nucleotide microRNA is filed under the name Schistosoma mansoni. Its description in RNAcentral is "sma-miR-8464-5p". Lineage: Eukaryota; Metazoa; Platyhelminthes; Trematoda; Strigeidida; Schistosomatidae. The record is from miRBase by way of RNAcentral.
AUUCUGUGUUAAUAUUUUUA